AGUGAACGCUGGCGGUAGGCCUAACACAUGCAAGUCGAACGGCAGCACAGUAAGAGCUUGCUCUUACGGGUGGCGAGUGGCGGACGGGUGAGGAAUACAUCGGAAUCUACUUUUUCGUGGGGGAUAACGUAGGGAAACUUACGCUAAUACCUCAUACGACCUACGGGUGAAAGCAGGGGAUCUUCGGACCUUGCGCGAUUGAAUGAGCCGAUGUCGGAUUAGCUAGUUGGCGGGGUAAAGGCCCACCGAGGCGACGAUCCGUAGCUGGUCUGAGAGGGUGAUCAGCCACAUUGGAACUGAGACACGGUCCAGACUCCUACGGGAGGCAGCAGUGGGGAAUAUUGGACAAUGGGCGCAAGCCUGAUCCAGCCAGACCGCGUGGGUGAAGAAGGCCUUCGGGUUGUAAAGCCCUUUUGUUGGGAAAGAAAAGCAGCAGGUUAAUAACCCGCUGUUCUGACGGUACCCAAAGAAUAAGCACCGGCUAACUUCGUG
RNAcentral lists this ribosomal RNA (492 nucleotides) under uncultured bacterium. Its description in RNAcentral is "partial 16S ribosomal RNA". It matches the Rfam family "Bacterial small subunit ribosomal RNA", at positions 29 to 507 of the family's 1533-position model. The record is from RNAcentral.